Molecule: long non-coding RNA, 210 nt
Organism: Chelmon rostratus (copperband butterflyfish)
Lineage: Eukaryota; Metazoa; Chordata; Actinopteri; Chaetodontiformes; Chaetodontidae
Exons: 3
Source: RefSeq, a predicted model, not a curated record
UUCCCGCAGGGGGUUCUGGGAUAUUCCUGCUCGCCUGGAGAACUGCAGCUUCUUGUAAAUCAAAGAUAAUCCUGCGCAAGGGGGCCUUCUUCAUGCAACACCUGUGCCGACAGAACCCCGGACGUCUCUUCCCAGCACCAACGCAGCCUGUUUACGGUUGCUGCGGUGACGUUGGAUUCUCGAAGAUGAGCAAGCAGAGGAGAGAGCGUC